Molecule: long non-coding RNA, 1174 nt
Organism: Nilaparvata lugens (brown planthopper)
Lineage: Eukaryota; Metazoa; Arthropoda; Insecta; Hemiptera; Delphacidae
Exons: 3
Source: RefSeq, a predicted model, not a curated record
AUGCCAAUGACUCAUCGAUUGUAUACUUGUAAAAACAAAGUAGUUAGAAUAUCACAGAAAAUAUUUUCAUAAAAAACUCUCUUUGAUUAUGAUAUGGAAGAAUGUAUUCUCACUAAAGAGUUCACAAGUCAAAUAAUUUGAAAAAAAUAAAUUCGAUCAAAGUACUGUGGUAUAAAUGAAUUUAGUCUAUUUGUAUAGUAAUUCAGUUAACUCUGUUCAGAAAUAACAUUAUUGAAAAGCAAUUAAGACUAGAAAGUUGUGACAAAUAGCAACAAACCAUCGUGCCAAAACCGGUCACGCCGUCUAGGAAUCGUGUCACACAAUGAAUAAUCGAUAAUCAUCACAUCAAUAAAUGUCAACUAAAUAAGUGAUGCAAUUUACCAUGAGUGCGGUCGGACACCGAGUCAGGCGGAGUGGGAUAGAACGUUCCUCUGUCACUGUCUACAGCGUCGUCUUCGCCCCUCUUCUUGCUUAUCGCCUGCAAUCCCAGCAAGAUAACAGCACAGGUGUCAGCAGCCACAUUGUUAUUGCACUCGUUUCACAAUCAUCACAAACAACAACUCGCACUUAUCUCCUACAAUGCAGUGUCGCAUUCACAACUCUCAAGUGUUUCAGCUAUUCAUGUAAGCUGACAUGGUAAAUGAAUUGAACGUAUGUGUACGUGUAUGAACAGUACUCGUAUUUUGAACUCCUACACUCCUAGGAUUACUACAAAAUAGUACAUCAUCGUCACAUUUACUAAUGUGAUAAACUACUCUUAGGAAAUUUACUAGUCAACCAGGAUUGACAGCUAUACCAGUAGCUGAAGAUGCAACAGAGGACAGGUACAUAAAAGCUUGUAGCACAAAUGUCUACCGCAUCAAACUAAAACAUUCGGUAUACUCCACAAGAAGGACAGUUUUUCAAGGGAACACUCCAUAUCUCAUAACUCAUGCAAAACACAAAAUAUAACUUUUCAUCAUUAUCAACAAAAACAACUAAAAUUAAUUUCCCAAAUUCCCUACUCAUCUCACAGUAAAAAAACUGAAAGCUCUAAUUACAAAAGAAGAUUGUGCGUGAGUAGACAAUACCAAGAGUGACAAUAACGUUUCUGAAAAUAGCAGACAUGAUUAAAAGAAAAUCCGGCAGUGAUAUGUUCAAACUUCACAAUUAAUUAUUUAAAUACAUCUAUUAA